RNAcentral lists this ribosomal RNA (792 nucleotides) under uncultured bacterium. Its description in RNAcentral is "bacterial SSU rRNA". It matches the Rfam family "Bacterial small subunit ribosomal RNA", at positions 671 to 1462 of the family's 1533-position model. The record is from RNAcentral.
AGGUGUAGCGGUGAAAUGCGUAGAUAUCUGGAAGAACACCGGUGGCGAAAGCGGCUUCCUGGACGGUGACUGACGCUGAGACGCGAAAGCGUGGGGAGCAAACAGGAUUAGAUACCCUGGUAGUCCACGCCAUAAACGAUGAACACUAGUCGUCGUGAUGCUUGUCAUUGCGGUGAUGCACUUAACAGAUUAAGUGUUCCGCCUGGGGAGUACGGUCGCAAGAUUAAAACUCAAAGGAAUAGACGGGGACCCGCACAAGUGGUGGAGCAUGUGGUUUAAUUCGAAGAUACGCGAAAAACCUUACCUGGUCUUGACAUUGAUAGAAUCUGCUAGAGAUAGCGGAGUGCCCUUCGGGGAGCUUGAAAACAGGUGCUGCACGGCUGUCGUCAGCUCGUGUCGUGAGAUGUUGGGUUAAGUCCCGCAACGAGCGCAACCCUCGUCCUUAGUUGCCAGCAGGUUAAGCUGGGCACUCUAGGGAGACUGCCUUCGUAAGGAGGAGGAAGGUGAGGACGACGUCAAGUCAUCAUGGCCCUUACGGCCAGGGCUACACACGUGCUACAAUGGGGCGUACAGAGUGUUGCAAUACCGCGAGGUGGAGCCAAUCACUUAAAGCGUCUCUCAGUUCGGAUUGUUCUCUGCAACUCGAGAGCAUGAAGUCGGAAUCGCUAGUAAUCGCGGAUCAGCAUGUCGCGGUGAAUACGUUCCCGGGUCUUGUACACACCGCCCGUCACACCAUGGGAGUGGAAUCUGGCAGAAGUAGGUAGCCUAACCGCAAGGAGGGCGCUACCACGC